This 57-nucleotide transfer RNA is filed under the name Schistocephalus solidus. It matches the Rfam family "tRNA", at positions 8 to 63 of the family's 71-position model. From Rfam's summary of the family: Transfer RNA (tRNA) molecules are approximately 80 nucleotides in length. Lineage: Eukaryota; Metazoa; Platyhelminthes; Cestoda; Diphyllobothriidea; Diphyllobothriidae. The record is from Rfam by way of RNAcentral.
UGGCUCAAUGGUAGAGCGUUCGACUCAAAUACCAAAUGUCGUGGGUUUGCAUCCCAU